This 468-nucleotide ribosomal RNA is filed under the name uncultured bacterium. RNAcentral's name for it is "partial 16S ribosomal RNA". It matches the Rfam family "Bacterial small subunit ribosomal RNA", at positions 28 to 507 of the family's 1533-position model. The record is from RNAcentral.
GACGAACGCUGGCGGCGUGCUUAACACAUGCAAGUCGAACGGAAAGGCCCUGCUUUUGUGGGGUGCUCGAGUGGCGAACGGGUGAGUAACACGUGAGUAACCUGCCCUUGACUUUGGGAUAACUUCAGGAAACUGGGGCUAAUACCGGAUAGGAGCUCCUGCUGCAUGGUGGGGGUUGGAAAGUUUCGGCGGUUGGGGAUGGACUCGCGGCUUAUCAGCUUGUUGGUGGGGUAGUGGCUGACCAAGGCUUUGACGGGUAGCCGGCCUGAGAGGGUGACCGGGCACAUUGGGACUGAGAGACGGCCCAGACUCCUACGGGAGGCAGCAGGGGGGAAUAUGGCACAAUGGGCGGAAGCCUGAGGCAGAAACGCCGGGUGCGGGAUGACGGCCUUCGGGGUGUAAACCGCUUUCGCCUGUGACGAAGCGUGAGUGACGGUAAUGGGUAAAGAAGCACCGGCUAACUACGUG